This is a long non-coding RNA of Salmo trutta (river trout), 1612 nucleotides long. The record is from Ensembl. NCBI's taxonomy places the organism in Eukaryota, Metazoa, Chordata, Actinopteri, Salmoniformes, Salmonidae.
AUGCAUUGACGUCGCUGAGGAGGUACAGCAAGGAGGAAGAAGAGAACUCCUGACCCGUAGUUCCCCUGGCGCCUCCCUCUCUGACGCCUCCCUCUGACGCCUCCCUCUGACGCCUCCCUCUCAGGCGCCUCCCUCUCAGGCGCCUCCCUCUCAGGCGCCUCCCUCUCUGGCGCCUCCCUCUCUGGCGCCUCCCUCUAAGACGCCUCCCUCUAAGACGCCUCCCUCUAAGACGCCUCCCUCUCUGGCGCCUCCCUCUCUGAGACCUCUUCCUUCAGCCUGGAACAGAUAUAUUCACACUGAUACUAACCACAACAGCACCAUCAACCCAGAGUGCCAAGCAGAAUACACUACAACACACUAAAACUACAUGUUACUGACCAGCAUCACUACCCAGCAUCAGGAUACUGUCCACAGCAGCAUCACUACCCAGCAUCAGGAUACUGUCCACAGCAGCAUCACUACAGCAGCAUCACGAUACUGACCACAGCAGCAUCACUACCACAGCAUCACUACCACAGCAUCAGGAUACUGUCUACAGCAGCAUCACUACCACAGCAUCAGGAUACUGUCCAUAGCAGCAUCACUACCACAGCAUCACUACCACAGCAUCAGGAUACUGUCCAUAGCAGCAUCACUACCACAGCAUCAGGAUACUGUCCAUAGCAGCAUCACUACCCAGCAUCAGGAUACUGUGAUUCUACUAAUCGAUCUGGUCUGACUGCUGUUCUGGAACUUUCUGUUCUCUCUUUGUUCCUGUUUUCCUUUUGUUUGUUUAGUUCGGGGUUUUUUGUCUUUCAAACUGUUGUAUAUUGUUUCUGUGAAAAUGAUGUAUUUAUUUUAUAGGAGUUGUAAAUGUGACUUGUACAGUUUUGCUAAAUGAUGAGUUGUGAGACUGAUGCCAUUUCCUACGUUGAGACAGUUACUGUGAGAGGAGACUUCAGCUGUCGCCGCCGAGAACUCUGGGAGUCGCUGCUGAAUUCGUCCUCAUGCCAUAUCUUUUAAAUAAUGACCUGCCAAACUAUUCUAUUGUAUAAAAACCGUGUAAAGUUGUAUUAUGUAAAAGACUAAAUGAAUACUACACUUCAGCAUUUUAUUGAGAAUUAUUCACUGUAAAAUGGAGAGACAUUUACACACAAAAAAAAUAAUUUAUUCAAAUUUUUUUGAAGUUUAAAUAGAAAACAAUUGUGAAAAUGUUACUGUGUAAAUAUAUACAUAUAUACAUUCACUGAUGUAUUUUUUAAAAACAUGGCUUUGCUUCAAUUUGUAAUUUUAAAAGUGCAAGUGUUAUAUGCUUUGUACAUUAAAGUUCAAAAGGGUUUUACAUUUUCCAUUAAAAUGGAUUCAUCAAAGUAUUGUCUGUGUUGUGUCUUAAUGCAGCUAUUCCCAAACUGUCAAAUAAAAAUGUGAUUCACAUUUAAAAACAGUCGAUUUACAGUUGAAGUCGGAAGUUUACGUACACCUUAACCAAAUACAUUUAAACUCAGUUUUUCACAAUUCCUGACAUUUAAUCCUAGUAAAAAUUCCCUGUUUUAGGUCAGUUAGGAUUACCACUUUAUUUUAAGAAUGUGAAAUGUCAGAAUAAUAGUAGAGAGAAUGAUUUAUUUCAGCUUUU